AACAGCCAUGCCCACAUUCAGCUGUUCAGCUCUUUGUCCCCUGCCAGAUCUUCUCACCUCUUUGUAGUUUUUCUCUGUGACUGGUAUAGUGGCACUUUUUACAUCGGAUGGAAAGGAUCCAUGCCAGGCCUCUUUUUUCCUUCCCAUGCUGAUUCCAGUCGAGUAGACCAUCACAGUCUGGAAACUUAUGUGUGCAUGAUACAACUUCCUAGAUGGUGUGUAGGCUGUUUAUCAACAUGUGAAACCCAUGUGUAUUUCAGGGUUGGAGUAGUUUCCUCUGUUAAAGAUCAAUAAUUCACAACAUACAAUGCGGCAUGCAGUCUGGUCAUCAAUGGAGAGUUUUGACACCUGUAUACUUGUAUUCUACCAGUCAUCUUUGUAGCCUUUGUUGUGUUCAUCAGACAGGCUUUAGGUGAAAGUGGUCUGUCACUGAGUCAACAAUUACUGUGACCCAAUAUUUGGUGCCAUUCACAAGCAGAAAAAUAUACAUAAAGCCAACAUUCAUCAUGUUUGAUCUUAAACUACACGACUACCAGUGUUGUAUAACUGGAGCCCUGCCCAGUAUUACUCAAACGUGAGCUAUGGGGAGAGAGUCCAGAGAUAUUUCCCCUAUGGAUGUGUUUCAAAGAAUUCUGAUGGACCUUGGAGCCGUGUCAGUUAUAGGAGAUCAUUUCACUACUUGUGUUUUUCCAAAAAUUUCCAUGUGACCUAGAGAUGGACUCUGGAUAUUUUAUUGAUUUCUCAUAUGGCCUGAAGCAGGACAAACCACCAGGAAUACUAUGUGAAAGAACCUUUAUAAUUUUUGGAUGGUUGUGGGAAUUUGAUGUAUUAUUGUAGUGUAUAACCAUGACAUUUUCCAUGAUAUAUCCUAGGAUGAUAGAAGAAUUCAUUUUGCUAGAUAUUUGUUUAAGAUUACUUAGGCUUACUAUUUUAUCUGAAUGAGACAGAAUCAUUCAGAGAGCAUUUAAUUAUUUUUUUUAUCUAGAAGU
Molecule: long non-coding RNA, 989 nt
Organism: Saccostrea cuccullata (small rock oyster)
Lineage: Eukaryota; Metazoa; Mollusca; Bivalvia; Ostreida; Ostreidae
Exons: 5
Source: RefSeq, a predicted model, not a curated record